RNAcentral lists this ribosomal RNA (496 nucleotides) under uncultured bacterium. Its description in RNAcentral is "partial 16S ribosomal RNA". It matches the Rfam family "Bacterial small subunit ribosomal RNA", at positions 28 to 506 of the family's 1533-position model. The record is from RNAcentral.
GAUGAACGCUGGCGGCGUGCCUAAUACAUGCAAGUCGAGCGAACAGAUGAGGAGCUUGCUCCUCUGACGUUAGCGGCGGACGGGUGAGUAACACGUGGAUAACCUACCUAUAAGACUGGGAUAACUUCGGGAAACCGGAGCUAAUACCGGAUAAUAUAUUGAACCGCAUGGUUCAAUAGUGAAAGACGGUUUUGCUGUCACUUAUAGAUGGAUCCGCGCCGCAUUAGCUAGUUGGUAAGGUAACGGCUUACCAAGGCAACGAUGCGUAGCCGACCUGAGAGGGGGAUCGGCCACACUGGAAAUGAGACACGGGCCAGGCUCCUACGGGAGGCAGCAGGAGGGAAUCUUCCGCAAUGGGCGAAAGCCUGACGGAGCAACGCCGCGGGAGUGAUGAAGGUCUUCGGAUCGUAAAACGCUGUUAUUAGGGAAGAACAAAUGUGUAAGUAACUAUGCACGUCUUGACGGUACCUAAUCAGAAAGCCACGGCGAACUACGU